UACAGAGGUCUCAAGCGUUGUUCGGAUUCACUGGGCGUAAAGGGGGCGCGGGUGGCCAGGUGGGUGAGGCGGGAAAGCCCGGGGCUUAACCCCGGAAUUGCACCUCAAACUACUUGGCUAGAGCAUUGGAGAGGGGAGCAGAAUUCAUGGUGUAGCAGAGAAAUGCGUAGAUAUCAUGAGGAAUACCAGAGGCGAAGGCGGCUCCCUGGACAAUUGCUGACACUCAGGCACGAAAGCGUGGGGAGCAAAAGGG
Molecule: ribosomal RNA, 253 nt
Filed under: uncultured bacterium
Lineage: Bacteria
Description: partial 16S ribosomal RNA
Rfam family: Bacterial small subunit ribosomal RNA
Source: RNAcentral